AUAUGAUGGGCCUACACGAAAUGAUGCUACAGAAUUAUGGCUGUAUCGCCGUGAAUGAACGCCAUGAUGUUGUACAAUCUAUGAAAUAUAGAAGGAAAAUUCCAGCGAUUACUUUUACGUAUUCAAACCUAUCAUAGCAGUUAAAUUCGUAGAUAAACAUUUUGUGAUUUCAUCUCCUGGCAAUUGUCGGUCCACACAUACCUUAUGCGAUAAAAAGCUUGUCAAACUACCAAUUUAUGGGGGUAAUUAAUUUUAUAUAUUAUUUAUUUGUCUAGUAAAUAUUUCUUUAGCCAUUGUUGCGCUCCGUCUAGCUAAUUAUCAAUGGCAAGAGCAUUUAAUUGGAAUAUCAAUUCUACUUUAUUAAAUUACUGACAACCGCAAUACAGUUUCUAGGUAUUUUUUUAACGAUCUUAAAAAAAAAGUGUAGCUAGCGAGAUAUUGGCUCUGUAUGCAUAAUGCAAAAAAAAGAGCACCAGUGAUAUGGUUUCCUUGCUGCAUAAUCAAGUAUGCGCUAUUCGUUAAGCAAAAAUUCUAUUGAAAUCGUAAGUAUGCGAAAGUAUUUAGAGUCUUUUCUUUGCAUGAACAUUCUGAUUACAUUGGUUACAAUUAUAAGUGACUAUUAUUUACGUG
Molecule: non-coding RNA, 630 nt
Organism: Schizosaccharomyces pombe (fission yeast)
Lineage: Eukaryota; Fungi; Ascomycota; Schizosaccharomycetes; Schizosaccharomycetales; Schizosaccharomycetaceae
Source: the annotation of a GenBank genome assembly